ACAAAGUCAGCCUUUCUUUAGCUCGAGUACAAUGUCGUCUUAAUACGGCUUCUUUCGAUAACCAGUAAUGUGCGAUUUUCGCUUAGUAGCUUUACUUGAUUCUGUUUCCUCGUGUAUUUCACAACGCCACACUGUAAUUAGUCCACCCUCGCCAGUAGUUAUCAGAUAUUUUUCCUGCAAAACAGACACAUAUUGAUAAGCAUCAAAAUUUAAGUGGGUGAGAAGCAAUAAACAGAAUACGAGUCUUUAUUAUUAAAUGAGGAUACUGGCUCUCACGAUUUGGUUAUUGUGUUGUAAGUUCAAAUGCGGCGAAAAGCAUUCAUUAUCGUAUUUGAGUGUUCGAAGACACUCCCUGGAAAUGUAAAAACGUUUAUAUGCCGUUAGCCAACAAAACGGAGCACAAAUAAUGUAGCUAUUUUUAAAUUGCUGUAAGCCCAAAAAACACUUGAUAGGCCUCGAUUGAUUGCAGUUUUACUCUGGUUGAAUUUUCACGCGUUCCAUAGACGAGGUUAAUUUUUGACUUCUAUUAUCUAGUACGAUCCUAAUGUUCACCUCACACUAGAUCGUGCAGUCUUAUAGAGAAAGCUCUAAUCCACAGAACGCUUUCAAGCUACAUCGAACCUAAUCAACCUGAUUUUUUACGCAUCAAUAUAUGAAAGCAACGAAAAUUCGCGUUUGUUCAACUCACAAAUUGAAAAAUGUUAAUCUUUUAAUUUUAAUAACUAACGGAAGACUGCAGGGAUAAUUCCUUGUUUGCUAAAUGAUAAACGAAAUAAAUGAACACUCACCCUUUGUUAUAGUUGGAACCAGCAAGUAGAAAAAAACCUGAAGGUUCAUCGUUAUGCGCAGCAACUACAUUGCAGUCAAUCGGCGAGGUUCUUUGAAUUAGCGAGGACUAGAAUGCCAACUAAAUGUUUCGACGGAAUUUUCUACGUUAAAACAAUACUGUAAUGCAUCAUCUUCACAGGAUUGUGAAAUAUCAAAUACAUUUACAAGUCCAUCGACACUACUACUAGCUAGUAAAUCCGGAUUAGUUGGAUGGAAACGGACGUUAGUUAUAUCUUCGCUAUGGCAUUCCCAGUAACUGCCAAGAAAAGCACGUUCUCGCACGUCAUAGAAUAGUAGGAAACUAUCGCCAGAUUCUUGAAUAUCCGUAGAGGCGCAAAUUACACGAUCGUUUUGAUUUAUAUCGAAA
Long non-coding RNA from Wyeomyia smithii (pitcher-plant mosquito), 1195 nucleotides. RefSeq lists it as uncharacterized. The transcript is spliced from 3 exons. NCBI's taxonomy places the organism in Eukaryota, Metazoa, Arthropoda, Insecta, Diptera, Culicidae. The record is from RefSeq and is a predicted model, not a curated record.